UCUAGGAACUGGGCUGGAGGUGGUGAGC
This 28-nucleotide non-coding RNA is filed under the name Rattus norvegicus (Norway rat). The record is from RNAcentral. Lineage: Eukaryota; Metazoa; Chordata; Mammalia; Rodentia; Muridae.